This 106-nucleotide ribosomal RNA is filed under the name uncultured bacterium. Its description in RNAcentral is "partial 16S ribosomal RNA". It matches the Rfam family "Bacterial small subunit ribosomal RNA", at positions 1379 to 1482 of the family's 1533-position model. The record is from RNAcentral.
CCUUGUACACACCGCCCGUCACACCAUGGGAGUUGGUUUUACCCGAAGGCGCUGAGCUAACCCGCAAGGGAGGCAGGUGACCACGGUAGGGUCAGCGACUGGGGUG